RNAcentral lists this ribosomal RNA (432 nucleotides) under Triticum aestivum (bread wheat). RNAcentral's name for it is "partial small subunit ribosomal RNA". Lineage: Eukaryota; Viridiplantae; Streptophyta; Magnoliopsida; Poales; Poaceae. The record is from RNAcentral.
AUGCGCCCUUUCCCUGUCUGCAGCAGCCAGCGAAGGCCAGCUAACUCGUCGCCCGGCGCACAGCUGCCCGGGUCGCUCCCCACCGAGCUGGCCUGCGUUGAGCACCUGCGCCACCUCUACCUAUCCGGGAACGGCCUCAACGGCAACCUCCCCGCCGCGCUGCUGCUCAACGCCACCGAGCUGCACGUGCUCUUGAUCGCCAGCAACGACCUCUCCGGCGCGCUCCCGGACGCGUCCUACGCGCGGGUGCUCCAGGAACUCAACCUAUCCGACAACGCGCUCGCGGGCUGGCUCCCCACCACGCUCCUCAGGGCGCCCGGGCUCGCCGUGUUGGGCCUCGCCAACAACUACCUCGCCGGCGAGCUCCUGGGGCAUGAAGACGAGGUGUUUGUUGAAAUGACUAAGAGAGAUAUAGGAGGAGCAAGAAGAUAG